RNAcentral lists this ribosomal RNA (405 nucleotides) under uncultured prokaryote. Its description in RNAcentral is "bacterial SSU rRNA". It matches the Rfam family "Bacterial small subunit ribosomal RNA", at positions 355 to 774 of the family's 1533-position model. The record is from RNAcentral.
UGGGGAAUAUUGGGCAAUGGGGGAAACCCUGACCCAGCAACGCCGCGUGAAGGAAGAAGGCUUUCGGGUUGUAAACUUCUUUGACGAGGGACGAAAGAAAUGACGGUACCUCGAAAACAAGCCACGGCUAACUACGUGCCAGCCGCCGCGGUAAUACGUAGGUGGCAAGCGUUGUCCGGAUUUACUGGGUGUAAAGGGCGCGUAGGCGGGAGUACAAGUCAGAUGUGAAAUGCCAGGGCUUAACCCUGGAGCUGCAGUUGAAACUGUAGUUCUUGAGUAGCGGAGAGGCAGGCGGAAUGCCUAGUGUAGCGGUGAAAUGCGUAGAUAUUAGGAGGAACACCAGUGGCGAAGGCGGCCUGCUGGACGACAACUGACGCUGAGGCGCGAAAGCGUGGGGAGCAAACA